RNAcentral lists this long non-coding RNA (1701 nucleotides) under Nicotiana tabacum (common tobacco). RNAcentral describes it as "long non-coding RNA (NTAB_LNC006542)". The record is from RNAcentral. Lineage: Eukaryota; Viridiplantae; Streptophyta; Magnoliopsida; Solanales; Solanaceae.
GCCCCUUAUCUGGAAAUCCUAGAUCAUUGUAGAAUGCAUAAUCAUACACUCUGUCCCACUCCUUGAGCAUGCCUGAACCGCUUCCACGAAGAUUAAGAAGCUCCUCUUCCCUGUAUGGUCGAAGGGGUUCCGGUGUGUUGCUUGGCAGGUAUGUCUGGAAAACCAGCAAAUUUGAUUUCAGCAUAUCGUAUCAUAUUUUGAACCUAUCAACUCUAUACAACUGUUUAGUUAUCAUUUCUAGAAAAAGUACGAGUUUCAGGAAGUCAAUAUGUAGCUAUCCUAUCAAGGUUGCCAUGGUUGUUCACUUAUCCUAAUCUAGUUAGUGAAAGAAUUUUCAUAGCUUUUGUCUAUUUAGAACAAGAAUGAACUUUUUAGGCUCUCGAAGAGGACCCGAAGAGAAUGUCCCAAAAAGUUUUACAUGCAUAAAAAUUCACAAAAUUCACGAAGCUUCAUCAGUAUGUGUCUGGUUAUUGCCAACAAACAUAAAGUACAACUCUGAGGCCUGAACCUCAAUCCAACUUUUGAUUUUCAAUGUGAUUUGCUCUAGUUUGCCUCGGCAGGUUACUUUUCCUUACUUAACUCACACUAAUAUUGCUAAUCUAAUGUUAGAGAUACCUUGUUUGAAAAAAAUACUCGGUUGUAUUUGUAGCGAUGUGCUGGAUACACCCAUGAAUUACACACAAAAUGAAGUUGACCAUGUCCAGGAACAUCUUCUAAAAUGACUGUCCUGAGGUAAAACUGGCUGUGGUGAUAGUUUUUGAUUAUGAAAGCUCCAGGAACUCCCAUGGACUCAUCCCAGUCAAAUGUCACAUUAAAUGUAGCAUCUCCCGCUGAUAUUGAAGUCAAAGUGGACAUCCAUUUCUCCAAGAAUGCUGGUUUUCCCAACUUCCCUUUACAUCCAUUUCCUACAAAAUUCAAACACAGGUCUUUGUAUUAAACUUACAAACUACAAAACUUUUUUUCUUUUAGAUACCAAAUUGAAUAUCAACUUGCUACUGUUUAGAUAUUAAUUAAUUAAUUAAUUGAAGUUACAUAUCCCUCUAAUAACUUAAGCAUCGAGAUGAGGUGCUCACCCCAUUCAAUAUGGUAUCACAGCAUCCUAAGAAAAAGACUCCCGCGUGAGAAAUGUGUGUUGUAGGCAUAAAUAAAUAAACUAAAGUGCACCCUCUCGAGUUGUUUUUUAAAUUUUUAGAUGAGGUGGCUACACAAUUCAACAACUACUAAAAGGAAAAAUCAGGAAACAACAGGUCAAGCACUCACAGGAUUAGACUAGGAUCAACUUAACUUGAAUCAUCAAUAUUUUUGCUAUUUAAAGCACAUGGAAAAUUCAAACGCUCUCUAUGUUCUGUUGCUUGGUUUUAUAGUUGAAAAAGGGCACUGAGGUUUGCUUAAAACAUAAUUUGUGUUUAGUUAUUUAUUAGCUUUCAUGUCCUCGUAUCAGAACCUUGUUGACAGAAAAGUAGAGCACAAGUAAAAGGAGGUACCAGAUUCUGCAUGGUCAGCACUGAUGAGCUGCAAAGAGACACCUUUGCCAAAGACUUCAUGAACUCUAUCAAGGAAAGAAGCACCAACAUCCUUCAAGUCCAAUACAUUCUUUUUCAUCAAUACAACUGUCCCUCUGACUUUCUUCCCAUUGGUAUUAUUGUUAAAGUUGUUAUCUUCUAUUGUAGGCUCAUGGUUCUUGCCACAAACCACUUGAAG